AUGAGAGUUACAUACAUUAUACUUGACUUUCUUUCUUUCUUUCAUUCUUUUUUAAUGCCAUUCCAGGAAAAAUGUCUUCUCUUGGGCGCAGAUCUAAAGGCUGGUAAGAACUACAGCAGGGAACGGACCCAGGCAGUCAAGAAGACACAGGCUGCGAUCUCAAGCCGACACGCUAAUCUGUAUUCACCUGAUGGAAUGCCAGUCAGGCCUCUCUUUCCAUCCCUUGUGGGCUCGGGACACAAUGCGACGCCCUACGGGAAGACAGAAAACAGACGUUGGCAAGUCUUCACUGGCAUAAAAUCUAGACUUGCCCAGAAAAUCUUUUUACCACGAAGUUCAAAAUUAUUUCCUUUCACUGACAUGGUUUUUAUCUCUUAUUUCACUGGAACACUGUAAGGGGAAUUGGCUGGAGGAGCGGGAGCCUGGGUGCCCGUCAGCAGCGGCAUCACUGUAAGAAGGGAACAAAGUCCUCGGGUGCCACGCACCCCCCCCCCUUCCCCCUAGUCACCUCUCUGCCUCUCGUCUGCGGACACGCUCCUACCAGCAAGUGACGUGAGCAGCUAGGGCCGUUUGGAAAAGAAUCAGGUGACCAACUUACAGACAAAAGCCAGGUGCUGAGCUAGCUGGGGCAGAAGGUUGGGGAAAGCCCAGUCUCCGGGGGACACAUGAAGCAGCCUGUCCCUGGACAGGCUACCUGCGUCCAGGCUUCUUCAGAAUCAGCCACAGCCACCUUCAGGUUGGCAUCCACCAUCACUUAUGUUCUCUGCUACCUGCGGCCGGUGGGAUCCAAGGGAGCAAGUGGCUUUGAAUCAUUUCAGAGGGACUGACUGCUAAUCCUCACCAUUCCUCUCCCCCAGCCUUGAGCCUCCCUCUAAAUAAAUCUUGGACAGGGGCACCUGGGUGGCUCA
Molecule: long non-coding RNA, 908 nt
Filed under: Felis catus (domestic cat)
Lineage: Eukaryota; Metazoa; Chordata; Mammalia; Carnivora; Felidae
Description: lncRNA (ENSFCAG00000053631.1)
Source: RNAcentral